CCUUGAGCUCACUUUGUAGCCCAGGCUGGUCUCAAACUCACAGUGAUCCUCCUGCCUCAGCCUCCUGAGUGCUGGGAU
Molecule: microRNA precursor, 78 nt
Filed under: Cavia porcellus (domestic guinea pig)
Lineage: Eukaryota; Metazoa; Chordata; Mammalia; Rodentia; Caviidae
Description: miRNA (ENSCPOG00000039153.1)
Source: RNAcentral